RNAcentral lists this ribosomal RNA (468 nucleotides) under uncultured bacterium. RNAcentral describes it as "partial 16S ribosomal RNA". It matches the Rfam family "Bacterial small subunit ribosomal RNA", at positions 28 to 507 of the family's 1533-position model. The record is from RNAcentral.
GACGAACGCUGGCGGCGUGCUUAACACAUGCAAGUCGAACGGAAAGGCCCUGCUUUUGUGGGGUGCUCGAGUGGCGAACGGGUGAGUAACACGUGAGUAACCUGCCCUUGACUUUGGGAUAACUUCAGGAAACUGGGGCUAAUACCGGAUAGGAGCUCCUGCUGCAUGGUGGGGGUUGGAAAGUUUCGGCGGUUGGGGAUGGACUCGCGGCUUAUCAGCUUGUUGGUGAGGUAGUGGCUUACCAAGGCUUUGACGGGUAGCCGGCCUGAGAGGGUGACCGGCCACAUUGGGACUGAGAUACGGCCCAGACUCCUACGGGCGGCAGCAGUGGGGAAUAUUGCACAAUGGGCGGAAGCCUGAUGCAGCAACGCCGCGUGCGGGAUGACGGCCUUCGGGUUGUAAACCGAUUUCGCCUGUGACGAAGCGUGAGUGACGGUAAUGGGUAAAGAAGCACCGGCUAACUACGUG